GCCUAACAUCUAGCCCCACCCCACAACAUAACAAUCCCCUAACUUUCUCCACCACAUAAAACAUUUUCUUAAUUUAGUAAAGGUGAUUAAAAAACUUCUUGGAGCAAUAAAUUCUAGUACCGCAAGGGAAAGAUGAAAUAAAAAUGAAAAAACUUUUUAAGCCUAAUAAAGCAGAGCUUAACUCUCGUACCUUUUGCAUCAUGGUUUAACUAGUCCCAUCAAGCAAAAAGACUUUUUAGUUUGAACCCCCGAAUCUAAGCGAGCUAUUUUAGAGCAGUUUUAUGAACGAACCCAUCUCUGUUGCAAAAGAGUGGGAAGACCCUAAGAUAGCGGUGACAGACCUAACGAGCUUAGUGAUAGCUGGUUGCUUCAGAAAAGGAUUUUAGUUCCUGCUUAAACCUUUAAUAAUUUCUAAAAAAACUGUUUAAAGUCAUUCAAAUAAGGUACAGCCUAUUUGAAAGAGGAUACAACCUUAAUUACUGGGUCUUUAUAUUUAUUCUUAUGCCAAAGUAGGCCUAAAAGCAGCCACCUUAAACUAAAAGCGUCAAAGCUUACUCAUAGACUUAAUCAAUUUCUAUCUUCCCAUCUACCCCUUAUUUUCCCUAUGAAGCUUCUCUAUAUCUUUAUAGAAAAUUUUAUGUUAAAACUAGUAAUAAGAAAUAGACCUUUCUCUUUAACGCAAGUUUAUGUCAGCCAGGACACUCCACUGACAAUUAACGCCCCUAAUAUAUGAGCCGAAACACAACAAGAAAAAUCUCCUAUUAUUAACGUCCACCUAACACUAGAGCGUUGCAAGAAAGAUUAAAAGAAAAAGAAGGAAUUCGGCAAAUACCUUAGUCCCGCCUGUUUACCAAAAACAUCGCCUCUUGCAGACAGAUAAGAGGUCCAGCCUGCCCAGUGACUCUGUUCAACGGCCGCGGUAUCCUAACCGUGCGAAGGUAGCGUAAUCACUUGUUCUUUAAUUGGGGACUAGUAUGAACGGCCCCACGAGGACUACACUGUCUCCUUUUUCUAAUCAAUGAAACUGAUCUCCUCGUGAAGAAGCGAGGAUAAAUAUAUAAGACGAGAAGACCCUAUGGAGCUUUAAACAACCGGGAUACUUGCUAAUUCUUAAUCUAUUUCCUGAAAACUAAACAAAUUAAAGCAUCUUACCCCCUAGUUUUAGGUUGGGGUGACCACGGAGAAAAAAUUAUCCUCCACGCUGUAAGAAGCCUCCCAUCUUCUAAGCUAAGAGCUACAUCUCUAAGCAUCAAUACAUUGACUCCCAUUGACCCAAUAAUUUGAUCAACGAACCAAGUUACCCUAGGGAUAACAGCGCAAUCUACUUUAAGAGCUCAUAUCGACAAGUAGGUUUACGACCUCGAUGUUGGAUCAGGGUAUCCUAGUGGUGCAGCCGCUACUAACGGUUCGUUUGUUCAACGAUUAAAACCCUACGUGAUCUGAGUUCAGACCGGAGUAAUCCAGGUCAGUUUCUAUCUAUAAAGAGGUUUUUCUAGUACGAAAGGACCAAAAAACCAUGGCCAAUGCCUAACUUAAGCCAUACAUUUCCAAGUUAUGUAUUCAUCUUAAUAACCAAAAAUCUUCUAAUCCUCUCUAGAAAAGAGUACAUUCCGCCCCC
RNAcentral lists this ribosomal RNA (1618 nucleotides) under Ranitomeya uakarii (Duellman's poison dart frog). RNAcentral's name for it is "16S ribosomal RNA". It matches the Rfam family "Bacterial large subunit ribosomal RNA", at positions 274 to 2838 of the family's 2925-position model. The record is from RNAcentral. Lineage: Eukaryota; Metazoa; Chordata; Amphibia; Anura; Dendrobatidae.